Molecule: ribosomal RNA, 408 nt
Filed under: uncultured bacterium
Lineage: Bacteria
Description: partial 16S ribosomal RNA
Rfam family: Bacterial small subunit ribosomal RNA
Source: RNAcentral
GACGAACGCUGGCGGCGUGCUUAACACAUGCAAGUCGAACGAAGUGGCGAACGGGUGAGUAACGCGUAAUCAACCUGCCCUUCAGAGGGGGACAACAGUUGGAAACGACUGCUAAUACCGCAUACUGAAGGAGGGGAAUGCGGCUGAUUAGCUAGCUGGAGGGGUAACGGGCCACCAAGGCGAGGCUCAGGAGCCCGUCUGGGAGGAUGAACGGCCACAUUGGGACUGAGAGAAGGCCCAGGCUUCUACGGGAGGCAGCAGGGGGGAAUCUUCCGCAAUGGACGAAAGUCUGACGGAGCAACGCCGCGUGAGUGAUGACGGCCUUCGGGUUGUAAAGCUUUGUUAAUCGGGACGCGGUACCGGAAUAGAAAGCCACGGCUAACUACGUGCCAGCCGCCGCGGUAAUAC